CCUACGGGUCGCACCAGUGGGGAGUAUUGGACAAUGGGCGAAAGCCUGAUCCAGCAAUGCCGCGUGUGUGAAGAAGGUCUACGGAUUGUAAAGCACUUCCGACGGGGACGAUGAUGACGGUACCCGUAGAAGAAGCCCCGGCUAACUUCGUGCCAGCAGCCGCGGUAAUACGAAGGGGGCUAGCGUUGCUCGGAAUGACUGGGCGUAAAGGGCGCGUAGGCGGUUUAUGCAGUCAGAUGUGAAAUCCCCGGGCUUAACCUGGGAACUGCAUUUGAGACGCAUAGACUAGAGGUCGAGAGAGGGUUGUGGAAUUCCCAGUGUAGAGGUGAAAUUCGUAGAUAUUGGGGAGAACACCGGUGGCGAAGGCGGCAACCUGGCUCGAUACUGACGCUGAGGCGCGGAAGCGUGGGGAGCAACCAGGAUUAGAUACCCCGGUAGUC
This 440-nucleotide ribosomal RNA is filed under the name uncultured bacterium. Its description in RNAcentral is "bacterial SSU rRNA". It matches the Rfam family "Bacterial small subunit ribosomal RNA", at positions 338 to 795 of the family's 1533-position model. The record is from RNAcentral.